CUACGGGGCGCAGCAGUGGGGAAUAUUGCACAAUGGGCGCAAGCCUGAUGCAGCCAUGCCGCGUGUAUGAAGAAGGCCUUCGGGUCGUAAAGUACUUUCAGCGGGGAGGAAGGGAGUAAAGUUAAUACCUUUGCUCAUUGACGUUACCCGCAGAAGAAGCACCGGCUAACUCCGUGCCAGCAGCCGCGGUAAUACGGAGGGUGCAAGCGUUAAUCGGAAUUACUGGGCGUAAAGCGCACGCAGGCGGUUUGUUAAGUCAGAUGUGAAAUCCCCGGGCUCAACCUGGGAACUGCAUCUGAUACUGGCAAGCUCGAGUCUCGUAGAGGGGGGUAGAAUUCCAGGUGUAGCGGUGAAAUGCGUAGAGAUCUGGAGGAAUACCGGUGGCGAAGGCGGCCCCCUGGACGAAGACUGACGCUCAGGUGCGAAAGCGUGGGGAGCAAACAGGAUUAGAUACCCGCGUAGUC
RNAcentral lists this ribosomal RNA (464 nucleotides) under uncultured bacterium. RNAcentral's name for it is "partial 16S ribosomal RNA". It matches the Rfam family "Bacterial small subunit ribosomal RNA", at positions 339 to 795 of the family's 1533-position model. The record is from RNAcentral.